UUUUGGUUCGGAAUAACUCAGGGAAACUUGUGCUAAUACCGAAUGUGCCCUUCGGGGGAAAGAUUUAUCGCCAUUAGAGCGGCCCGCGUCUGAUUAGCUAGUUGGUGAGGUAAAGGCUCACCAAGGCGACGAUCAGUAGCUGGUCUGAGAGGGUGAUCAGCCUAAUUGGGACUGAGACACGGCCCAAACUCCUACGGGAGGCAGCAGUGGGGAAUCUUGCGCAAUGGGCGAAAGCCUGACGCAGCCAUGCCGCGUGAAUGAUGAAGGUCUUAGGAUUGUAAAAUUCUUUCACCGGGGACGAUAAUGACGGUACCCGGAGAAGAAGCCCCGGCUAACUUCGUGCCAG
Molecule: ribosomal RNA, 346 nt
Filed under: Brevundimonas sp.
Lineage: Bacteria; Pseudomonadati; Pseudomonadota; Alphaproteobacteria; Caulobacterales; Caulobacteraceae
Description: bacterial SSU rRNA
Rfam family: Bacterial small subunit ribosomal RNA
Source: RNAcentral